ACAUGAUGCCCAGCACCCGGAGGAGCAGGGCCCCAUCGCUGAGGCGCAGGAAUCUCUUCUCCAACCAAAGGGGCGGCUCUUCCUCCUCUUCCUCUUCUUCCCCCUCCGAGUCCUCCGCCUCCCCGACCAGCCCGGCCAGUCCCAGCGCCUGUGAGGAGCCCAGAGGGGUCAGCCGACCAGCAGAGUGAACCCUGAGCCCCUCCGACCUGCCCCACAUCUCUGCAGGGCUAGCCCAGAGGUUGGCGGCGGAAGGCCCACAGCUCCCCUGGCUCCAUGGGCAAUGACCGAACAGCCCUUCACCUCUCUGGGCCUUGUUUUCUCAAACUGAAACUGGAGAGGAUGACCCCAGCCUGGGACCUUCGAGGGCCUCAAAAGGGCUCUGGGCCUUGCGUGGCUGGACGAUGAAUGUGAUGGCUGGAACUCAAGCAGCCACAGUGGAUCAUAAGGGACGGUGUCUUGCUAUGUUGUCCAAGCUGGUCUCAAACUGGCCUGAAUCAAUGCUUCCACCUCAGCUGCCAGAGGAACCGGGAUUACAGGCCUGAGCCACUGCAGCCAGCCAGUUUGUUAUUUUAAUGUAAAUUCUUAGUAAACAACUCAGGAGCUCUCUUGUCCUUUUAAAAUCCAUUUCAACUUCUGCUAAUCGGAGUGUAUAUUCAGGGCAACUUGAAUCUGUGCUCCUGGGAUGCAAUCCUCAAGCUUGGCCCA
This 705-nucleotide long non-coding RNA is filed under the name Homo sapiens (human). RNAcentral describes it as "HSALNT0363194". The record is from RNAcentral. Lineage: Eukaryota; Metazoa; Chordata; Mammalia; Primates; Hominidae.